This 460-nucleotide ribosomal RNA is filed under the name uncultured bacterium. Its description in RNAcentral is "partial 16S ribosomal RNA". It matches the Rfam family "Bacterial small subunit ribosomal RNA", at positions 338 to 795 of the family's 1533-position model. The record is from RNAcentral.
CCUACGGGAGGCAGCAGUGAGGAAUAUUGGUCAAUGGGCGUAAGCCUGAACCAGCCAAGUCGCGUGAGGGAUGAAGGUUCUAUGGAUCGUCAACCUCUUUUAUAAGGGAAUAAAGUGUGGGACGUGUCCGAUUUUGUAUGUACCUUAUGAAUAAAGAUAGGCUAACUCCGUGCCCGCAGCCGCGGUAAUACGGCGGAUCCGAGCGUUAUCCGGAUUUAUUGGGUUGAAGGGGUGCGUAGGCGGAGGCACAAGUCAGCGGUAAAAUCGCGGGGCUCAACCCCGCUCCGCCGUUGAAACUGUGUCCCUUGAGUGCGCGACGGGUAGGCGGAAUGCGUGGUGUAGCGGUGAAAUGCAUAGAUAUCACGCAGAACUCCGAUCGCGAAGGCAGCCUACCGGGGCGCAACUGACGCUCAUGCACGAAAGCGUGGGUAUCGAACAGGAUUAGAUACCCCGAGUAGUC